UCCCGAACAGGACCGUGAAACGACUUCGCGCCGAUGAUAGUGCGGAUUCCCGUGUGAAAGUAGGUCAUCGUCAGGC
RNAcentral lists this ribosomal RNA (76 nucleotides) under Oryzisolibacter propanilivorax. The record is from RNAcentral. Lineage: Bacteria; Pseudomonadati; Pseudomonadota; Betaproteobacteria; Burkholderiales; Comamonadaceae.